RNAcentral lists this ribosomal RNA (620 nucleotides) under uncultured Bacillaceae bacterium. Its description in RNAcentral is "bacterial SSU rRNA". It matches the Rfam family "Bacterial small subunit ribosomal RNA", at positions 427 to 1038 of the family's 1533-position model. The record is from RNAcentral. Lineage: Bacteria; Bacillati; Bacillota; Bacilli; Caryophanales; Bacillaceae.
AAAACUCUGUUGUUAGGGAAGAACAAGUACCGGAGUAACUACCGGUACCUUGACGGUACCUAACCAGAAAGCCACGGCUAACUACGUGCCAGCAGCCGCGGUAAUACGUAGGUGGCAAGCGUUGUCCGGAAUUAUUGGGCGUAAAGCGCGCGCAGGCGGUUCCUUAAGUCUGAUGUGAAAGCCCACGGCUUAACCGUGGAGGGUCAUUGGAAACUGGAGGACUUGAGUACAGAAGAGGAGAGUGGAAUUCCACGUGUAGCGGUGAAAUGCGUAGAGAUGUGGAGGAACACCAGUGGCGAAGGCGACUCUCUGGUCUGUAACUGACGCUGAGGCGCGAAAGCGUGGGGAGCGAACAGGAUUAGAUACCCUGGUAGUCCACGCCGUAAACGAUGAGUGCUAGGUGUUAGGGGGUUUCCGCCCCUUAGUGCUGAAGUUAACGCAUUAAGCACUCCGCCUGGGGAGUACGGCCGCAAGGCUGAAACUCAAAAGAAUUGACGGGGGCCCGCACAAGCGGUGGAGCAUGUGGUUUAAUUCGAAGCAACGCGAAGAACCUUACCAGGUCUUGACAUCCUCUGACCACCCUAGAGAUAGGGCUUUCCCUUCGGGGACAGAGUGACAGG